Molecule: non-coding RNA, 1058 nt
Organism: Carassius gibelio (silver crucian carp)
Lineage: Eukaryota; Metazoa; Chordata; Actinopteri; Cypriniformes; Cyprinidae
Source: the annotation of a RefSeq genome assembly
GUUUUAUAACUCUGUGAGUUUGAGAAUCUGAACAACAGCAACCAUGAGCUUCAUCACCAUCUUCAUCUGGAUCUUCACCAGCUACUGUUUCACAGAAUCAGCAGCUGGAGUGACAGUCACUCAGACGCCUGCAGAGAAACCUGUUCAACCAGGAGACAAAGUUACCAUGUCCUGUAAAACCAGUCCUGAAGUUUACCAGGGUUGGAGUGUUCAGCCUUUAUCCUGGUACUUACAGAAACCUGGAGAAGCUCCUAAACUCCUGAUUUAUGAUGCAAACACUCUCCAGUCAGGAACUCCAUCUAGAUUCAGUGGCAGUGGAUCUAACAGUGAUUUCACUCUGACCAUCAGUGGAGUCCAGACUGAAGAUGCUGGACAUUAUUACUGUCAGAGUUACCACAGUGGUCGUGUGUUCACACAGUGAUAAAGCGUGGUACAAAAACCUGUGUCAGUCAGAGUCACAGUGACUGAACUGAUGCUGCAGCUGCUCAAAGGAGGAUCUGAAACUCUGUUGUUUUUGCUCUUUCUCCUCAUAUUCUGACUCUCUGUAGGGAGAAGAGAAAUGCUGGAAACUGGACUGAUUGAAUCUGCACAGCUUUGAGGUUUUGAUUUGAUUCAUUGUGCUCUUAUAGAUCCGUCACAUGAUGGAGAUUGAAGCUCAACAUCUGUCUCACAAACACAUGCAGCUGUUUUCAGUCACAGAUACAGCUGCUAUAAUGAAUGAGGAAUGACAAAACUCUAGGAUACUUAAAUUCAGCACAGAAACUCACAGUUUAAUAACAUAUUUAAUUUGAUGAAUGAUAUGUAAACCUUGUUUCACAGCUCUUCAAACUCUCUCUUUCAGGUCGGUUCAGCAAAUGCUUCACAUAAAGAUCAGACAGUGUCUCUGCUGAUUUAUGAUCCUAAAACCCUCAUAUUGUGUGUCAGAGUUUCUCCAUCGACUGUAAAACCAGCGAUCGAUCUCAGUUACUGUACACUACUGUUGAAACAAUUGGGAUCUUUCUUACACAAAUGUAAUAUUUACAAGUGCAUUUAUAAAAUUCCCAUACACAUAUGUUUAU